RNAcentral lists this ribosomal RNA (497 nucleotides) under uncultured bacterium. RNAcentral's name for it is "partial 16S ribosomal RNA". It matches the Rfam family "Bacterial small subunit ribosomal RNA", at positions 28 to 507 of the family's 1533-position model. The record is from RNAcentral.
GAUGAACGCUGGCGGCGUGCCUAAUAUAUGCAAGUCGAGCGAACAGACGAGGAGCUUGCUCCUCUAACGUUAGCGGCGGACGGGUGAGUAACACGUGGAUAACCUACCUAUAAGACUGGGAUAACUUCGGGAAACCGGAGCUAAUACCGGAUAAUAUAUUGAACCGCAUGGUUCAAUAGUGAAAGACGGUUUUGCUGUCACUUAUAGAUGGAUCCGCGCCGCAUUAGCUAGUUGGUAAGGUAACAGCUUACCAAGGCAACGAUGCGUAGCCGACCUGAGAGGGUGAUCGGCCACACUGGAACUGAGACACGGUCCAGACUCCUACGGGAGGCAGCAGUAGGGAAUCUUCCGCAAUGGGCGAAAGCCUGACGGAGCAACGCCGCGUGAGUGAUGAAGGUCUUCGGAUCGUAAAACUCUGUUAUUAGGGAAGAACAAAUGUGUAAGUAACUAUGCACGUCUUGACGGUACCUAAUCAGAAAGCCACGGCUAACUACGUG